This 468-nucleotide ribosomal RNA is filed under the name uncultured bacterium. RNAcentral describes it as "partial 16S ribosomal RNA". It matches the Rfam family "Bacterial small subunit ribosomal RNA", at positions 28 to 507 of the family's 1533-position model. The record is from RNAcentral.
GACGAACGCUGGCGGCGUGCUUAACACAUGCAAGUCGAACGGAAAGGCCCUGCUUUUGUGGGGUGCUCGAGUGGCGAACGGGUGAGUAACACGUGAGUAACCUGCCCUUUACUUUGGGAUAACUUCAGGAAACUGGGGCUAAUACCGGAUAGGAGCUCCUGCUGCAUGGUGGGGGUUGGAAAGUUUCGGCGGUUGGGGAUGGACUCGCGGCUUAUCAGCUUGUUGGUGGGGUAGUGGCUUACCAAGGCUUUGACGGGUAGCCGGCCUGAGAGGGUGACCGGCGACAAUAGGACUGAGAUACGGCCCAGACGCCUACGGGAGGCAGCAGGGGGGAAUAUUGCACAAUGGGCGGAAGCCUGAUGCAGCAACGCCGCGUGCGGGAUGAUGGCCUUCGGGUUGUAAACCGCUGUCGCCGGUGACGAAGCGUGAGUGACGGUAAUGGGUAAAGAAGCACCGGCUAACUACGUG